Molecule: ribosomal RNA, 497 nt
Filed under: uncultured bacterium
Lineage: Bacteria
Description: partial 16S ribosomal RNA
Rfam family: Bacterial small subunit ribosomal RNA
Source: RNAcentral
GAUGAACGCUGGCGGCGUGCCUAAUACAUGCAAGUCGAGCGAACGGACGAGAAGCUUGCUUCUCUGAUGUUAGCGGCGGACGGGUGAGUAACACGUGGAUAACCUACCUAUAAGACUGGGAUAACUUCGGGAAACCGGAGCUAAUACCGGAUAAUAUAUUGAACCGCAUGGUUCAAUAGUGAAAGACGGUUUUGCUGUCACUUAUAGAUGGAUCCGCGCCGCAUUAGCUAGUUGGUAAGGUAACGGCUUACCAAGGCAACGAUGCGUAGCCGACCUGAGAGGGUGAUCGGCCACACUGGAACUGAGACACGGUCCAGACUCCUACGGGAGGCAGCAGUAGGGAAUCUUCCGCAAUGGGCGAAAGCCUGACGGAGCAACGCCGCGUGAGUGAUGAAGGUCUUCGGAUCGUAAAACUCUGUUAUUAGGGAAGAACAAAUGUGUAAGUAACUAUGCACGUCUUGACGGUACCUAAUCAGAAAGCCACGGCUAACUACGUG